CGGGGCGUAGCGCAGCCCGGCUAGCGCGUGUGGUUUGGGACCACAAGGUCGGAGGUUCAAAUCCUCUCGCCCCGACCA
Molecule: transfer RNA, 78 nt
Filed under: Candidatus Poribacteria bacterium
Lineage: Bacteria; Candidatus Poribacteria
Description: tRNA-Pro
Rfam family: tRNA
About the family: Transfer RNA (tRNA) molecules are approximately 80 nucleotides in length. Their secondary structure includes four short double-helical elements and three loops (D, anti-codon, and T loops).
Source: RNAcentral